GGUUCAGUGGUGUAGGGGUUAUCACAUCUGUCUCACAAGCUGCUUGUACACAGGAGGUCCCCGGUUCGAGACCGGGUUGAACCA
This is a non-coding RNA of Mycena alexandri, 84 nucleotides long. The record is from the annotation of a GenBank genome assembly. Lineage: Eukaryota; Fungi; Basidiomycota; Agaricomycetes; Agaricales; Mycenaceae.